ACCAUGGUGCCGGCUCAGGGUUCAAGACAGGGGAAGGGUCCAGUGGUAGCCCUUGAAGUCUGAGGAGAGAAGUGUCAAUCACGUAGCCCCGCCCCUACUAGCUCCGCCCACAGCUGUGUCCGGAAGCAGCAAGCGUGCCUGGGCAGAGACCCCCAGAGUGUAAAGAGGUCCUGGGACAGGCUUUGCACGUUCCACAAGAGUGUCUCGCUGUGUCGUCUAGACUGGAGUGCAGUGGUGUGAUCAUGGCUCAACUCCUAGGCUCAAGCGAUCCUCCUGCCUCAGCCUCCGGAGUAGCUGCUGGGACUGCAGGAACGUGCCACCAUGCCUGGCUCAAACACAAAGUUUUUUCAUAAAACUCACUUGGCGGCAAAAUUCUACCUUACCUGAAGUUAUUUACGGGG
This 401-nucleotide long non-coding RNA is filed under the name Homo sapiens (human). RNAcentral describes it as "long non-coding RNA NONHSAT036037.2". Lineage: Eukaryota; Metazoa; Chordata; Mammalia; Primates; Hominidae. The record is from RNAcentral.